Molecule: small nuclear RNA, 164 nt
Organism: Cynocephalus volans (Philippine flying lemur)
Lineage: Eukaryota; Metazoa; Chordata; Mammalia; Dermoptera; Cynocephalidae
Product: U1 spliceosomal RNA
Exons: 1
Source: RefSeq, a predicted model, not a curated record
AUCGUGCCCAGGCAGGGGAGAUACCAUGAUUGCAAAGGUUUUUUCCCCCGGGGUGGGGUUUACCCAUUGCACUUUGGAUGUGCUGACCCUCCUGAUUUCCCCAAAUGUGGGAAACUCGGCUGCAUAAUGUGUGGCAGUGGGAACAUGCAUUCACUCUUUUCCCU